AGAUGUGAGGGUGAUCUGGCUGUGAUAUCUGUAACAUCACUGAUCAUCAGGGUUGAUUAGGUUGAUCUGGUUGGAUAAGCAGGUGCCCCCUUCCUUCCUCACCUAUCCAUGUGCAUUCAUUCCAAAGCUGCAUGCUCAGUGGAAGAGGACUGCAAUCCCAGAUAGGUGUGUACCAUUUUUGGAUCAAGGGUACACGAUAGCUUCGCUCUCCUGUUAGAACCUGUAAUCCUCUUGCUUCUUCAAUGUGCACUUAACAGCUCAGGCUUGGAUUUUAAAAAGUUUUCUUUCCCUAUUAAACUCCUUU
Molecule: small nuclear RNA, 304 nt
Filed under: Salvator merianae (Argentine black and white tegu)
Lineage: Eukaryota; Metazoa; Chordata; Lepidosauria; Squamata; Teiidae
Description: 7SK RNA (ENSSMRG00000017488.1)
Rfam family: 7SK RNA
About the family: 7SK was discovered as an abundant small nuclear RNA in the mid-70s but a possible function has only recently been suggested. Two independent studies have found that 7SK RNA binds the CDK9/cyclin T complex (known as elongation factor P-TEFb).
Source: Rfam by way of RNAcentral